AUGAACGCUGGCGGCGUGCCUCAUACCUGCCAGUCGAGCGAACAGACGAGGAGCUUGCUCCUCUGACGUUAGCGGCGGACGGGUGAGUAACACGUGGAUAACCUACCUAUAAGACUGGGAUAACUUCGGGAAACCGGAGCUAAUACCGGAUAAUAUAUUGAACCGCAUGGUUCAAUAGUGAAAGACGGUUUUGCUGUCACUUAUAGAUGGAUCCGCGCCGCAUUAGCUAGUUGGUAAGGUAACGGCUUACCAAGGCAACGAUGCGUAGCCGACCUGAGAGGUUGAUCGGCCACACUGGACCUGAGACACGGUCCAGACUCCUACGGGAGGCAGCAGUAGGAAAUCUUCCGCAAUGGCGAAAGCCUGACGGAGCAACGCCGCGUGAGUGAUGAAGGUCUUCGGAUCGUAAAACUCUGUUAUUAGGGAAGAACAAAUGUGUAAGUAACUAUGCACGUCUUGACGGUACCUAAUCAGAAAGCCACGGCUAACUACGUG
Molecule: ribosomal RNA, 495 nt
Filed under: uncultured bacterium
Lineage: Bacteria
Description: partial 16S ribosomal RNA
Rfam family: Bacterial small subunit ribosomal RNA
Source: RNAcentral